GACGAACGCUGGCGGCGUGCUUAACACAUGCAAGUCGAACGGAAAGGCCCUGCUUUUGUGGGGUGCUCGAGUGGCGAACGGGUGAGUAACACGUGAGUAACCUGCCCUUGACUUUGGGAUAACUUCAGGAAACUGGGGCUAAUACCGGAUAGGAGCUCCUGCUGCAUUGUGGGGGUUGGAAAGUGUCGGCGGUUGGGGAUGGACUCGCGGCUUAUCAGCUUGUUGGUGGGGUAGUGGCUUACCAAGGCUUUGACGGGUAGCCGGCCUGAGAGGGUGACCGGCCACAUUGGGACUGAGAUACGGCCCAGACUCCUACGGGAGGCAGCAGUGGGGAAUAUUGCACAAUGGGCGGAAGCCUGAUGCAGCAACGCCGCGUGCGGGAUGACGGCCUUCGGGUUGUAAACCGCUUUCGCCUGUGACGAAGCGUGAGUGACGGUAAUGGGUAAAGAAGCACCGGCUAACUACGUG
This 468-nucleotide ribosomal RNA is filed under the name uncultured bacterium. Its description in RNAcentral is "partial 16S ribosomal RNA". It matches the Rfam family "Bacterial small subunit ribosomal RNA", at positions 28 to 507 of the family's 1533-position model. The record is from RNAcentral.